This 91-nucleotide small nucleolar RNA is filed under the name Setaria italica (foxtail millet). Its description in RNAcentral is "Small nucleolar RNA SNORD96 family". It matches the Rfam family "Small nucleolar RNA SNORD96 family". From Rfam's summary of the family: snoRNA Z37 is a member of the C/D class of snoRNA which contain the C (UGAUGA) and D (CUGA) box motifs. Z37 acts as a methylation guide for 5.8S ribosomal RNA. Lineage: Eukaryota; Viridiplantae; Streptophyta; Magnoliopsida; Poales; Poaceae. The record is from Rfam by way of RNAcentral. RNAcentral also lists the same sequence under 1 other name.
UGGCCGGUGAUGAAAAACUCAUCAAAAAUACCAUCUUUCGGGACUGAUUGGCCCCCAGUGGCAAUGCUGCUAUUCUGCAAUUCUGAGGCCA